GUAAAGAGCAAUUUUGGACAUCAUGGCCUUUUUUCAUCAGUGAAGAUUACAAACGCGAUAGCGGAAAGAUUUGUGUGGAACAUUUUGCAGAUAAUGACAAAGUUCAAAGAGGUUGCAGGGCUGAAUUCAACUUGCAGCCUUACCGAUCACCUGACGAUGCUCAUUUAGUUUGGCUCGAGCAAGUCUUCUUGAAAUGCUUGUGUGGAUGGAAAGUGGAAACUACCUAUAAUUUUUGCCUUUCUCCGAUUUUGGACAAAUUUAUUCUGAGGCAUUUCGCAUAAAAUUCUUAUUGAUUGUUGGCUGUUUAUAAUUCCUAUUGAUUGUGAAUUCUGAUUAUAACAAAGAGUUAAAAAAAAUUUUACCUAA
This is a non-coding RNA of Styela clava, 366 nucleotides long. The record is from RefSeq and is a predicted model, not a curated record. NCBI's taxonomy places the organism in Eukaryota, Metazoa, Chordata, Ascidiacea, Stolidobranchia, Styelidae.